AGAACACUGAGAACACACAUAUUUUUGACUUCCUGUUGUCGCUCCUCCCGCUGAGGAGCCCAAAGUGAAAGCAAACAUUUGUCCUGUGACUCCGCCAUCAGCGUCUCCGGUGUUGGUCGAGAUUCGUGUUUCCCCGUCAGGUGUCAACAUAAUGUCAACAUCAAUGUUAAUUCCUUACUUUGACACUAAAUGAGGAAGUGACGGCGGCGCACAGCAAACAGGGGCCGCACGCCAUUUGUCUUUCCUGCCGCUCCUCUCCCUUCAAAAUCAACAGUUUAAAGGUGUCGGCUCGGCUAUGGAGCCAUUUGGGAGAAGAAUGAAGGGGCUCCCUGCCUCUGAAAGCUCUCUGUCUGGGGAACAUGACAGCCAGACCAAAGCUAAGAGGAUCCAGCAGGAGAGACCAGACUCCCCUGGACCUGGACCUGAGCCCAGCUGUGUGUCCAUGAAGAGUGACCACUCUAUGGAUAAACCUAUUGGGUUCA
Myripristis murdjan (pinecone soldierfish) is the source of this 482-nucleotide long non-coding RNA. RefSeq lists it as uncharacterized. NCBI's taxonomy places the organism in Eukaryota, Metazoa, Chordata, Actinopteri, Holocentriformes, Holocentridae. The transcript has 4 exons. The record is from RefSeq and is a predicted model, not a curated record.